RNAcentral lists this ribosomal RNA (253 nucleotides) under uncultured bacterium. RNAcentral describes it as "partial 16S ribosomal RNA". It matches the Rfam family "Bacterial small subunit ribosomal RNA", at positions 524 to 776 of the family's 1533-position model. The record is from RNAcentral.
GACGUAGGGGGCCAGCGUUGUUCGGAAUUACUGGGUGUAAAGGGUUCGUAGGCGGUGUGGCAAGUCGGGAGUGAAAUCUCUGGGCUCAACCCAGAGACUGCUUCCGAAACUGCUGUGCUUGAGUGUGAGAGAGGCUCGUGGAAUUGCAGGUGUAGCGGUGAAAUGCGUAGAUAUUGGGAAGAACACCUGAGGCGAAGGCGGGUUGCUGGGCCGACACUGACGCUGAGGCGCGAAAGCCAGGGGAGCAAACGGG